Long non-coding RNA from Oreochromis niloticus (Nile tilapia), 480 nucleotides. RefSeq lists it as uncharacterized. NCBI's taxonomy places the organism in Eukaryota, Metazoa, Chordata, Actinopteri, Cichliformes, Cichlidae. The record is from RefSeq and is a predicted model, not a curated record. The transcript has 3 exons.
UUCUGUUCGUUUUUCUGUAUUAGGAUUUAUGUUCUGAUUCUUUAGUUGUGCUGUUUUGAUUAUUAUUAUGAUUAUUCUAGGUUUAGUUCCGUGUCAAGUUUAUGUCUUUGUGUUUUGUUUCUUGUGUCCUGUUUUACUUUGAAGCUUCAUGUCUUAUGACAGUGUAUUCAGUUUUACUCCCCCUGUCUCGUUAGCCUAAUUUCUCCCGGCUCGUUCUCCCUCCUGUUUCCCAUUCCCUGAUUACUCCCCUGUGUACAUAAGACCUGUGAUUUCCUUUGCUCUCUGUCAUGUCGUACCCUCAAACUACUCUGUGUGUUUCUUUAUUUCUUCGUUUGACUGCCUGUUAGUUUAUUUUCCCACAGGGUAGUUAGUUUUCUGUUCAGUCUGCAACCUGCAAUAAAGCUGUUUAUUUUGAGUUCACCUUUGCCUGACGCAGACAUCAAAGUUUCAUGGUUACAGAAGUAAUAGUGCACUGAGGAA